AAAUUCCUCUAACCCCCGCACACAGAAACGAGCAUUGUUAACAGUCAGUGAAAAGUGAGCUUGCCUGGAUCCACAGAAAACUCAAAUCCUAUUCUAAGUCAGUGAUUCUUCUGAAGUGUGGUCCUUAGAGCAGCAGUAGCAAUAUCAUCUGGGAACUUGUUAGAAGUUCCCAGAAUCACCUGGGAACUCAGGCUGCACCUGGGACUUUUCGAAUCAGAGAAUCUGGGGUGGGCGCAACAAUCACCUCCAGAUGAUUCUGGUGCAUGCUAGAGUUUGAGAACUACCAUCUUGGGAAUGUGAGAAGGAGCCAAACAGAAAGCAAGAAUACGAUUCAGCGUUUCCAACGGAGACUGUGUCUGGUACAUAGCUGUAUAUUUUAGCGGUGGGUCCUUCUAGUAGUGGCAUGUGGGAUGCUGCCCCAGCAUGGCCUAAUGAGCAGUGCCAUGUCCAUGACCAGGAUCCGAACCUGCGAAACCCUGGGCCACGGAAGCGGAGCCGCAAACCCAACCACUCUGCCACAGGUCCACUCUCCACGUUUCCUCAUCCUGCUGUUGCCCCAGGAGGCUGACGUGUAUGCACUUGUACUUCAUCAACAACUUCCCUCGACCUCUGGCUUCCAGAGCCUUGCUACACAAAGAACCAGGUGGCAUCCCUCUGGUUUACACUCAAAGCUGACUAGGAGGGCACUAAGGGAGCCAUUCCGGGGCUUCACAGCAGAUUAGCAGCGCAACUUCCAUCAUUGUUAAUAAGAUUUACAGAGGUAAUCCACCUGCCAACGUACCAUGAAAAUUUAUUGUAUUUUGGCAACUGCAGAGCUCUCAGGCAAAUUCUGAUGACAAGCUUGCAUGCAAGAAAGAGUCAUUUGGAAAUUUAAAUAGAGUCAAAUUAUCUCUAUUUAAGGCACUAAUCUGCAAUUUUUAAAAUGAACUAUUUUGAGGUGUCCUAUUUAUGUGAUAGGAAGAGUAAAUGUUGGAAAAUUCUUGUAGUUUUUAAUCUAUUGAAAUUUCGUUUUGAAAGAGUCCAUUUCAUGGUCUGUUUAACUGUGUCAGAGGGACACUCUAACAAGAUGGAAAGUGAAAAGAAUUGCUAUGUUCACAUCUUGCUUUGUACCCUAAAAUGUGACAUUUAAAGCUAAAGGACCUUCAAGAUUUUGCAAUUAAUAUUAAAUUCUGGCAUUGGGAAAAGGACAUCUCUUGUUAACCAGCAUUUUGGACUUUUUUUUGUGAUGCAUAAGGAAAACACAGAUCUUUGAACUUGUAAAAAUGUUGACGUUAUUACAGUGAUAAAUAGACAACUGGGUGUGAAUUACCAGGUCAUUAAAGCAGGCUUCUUGAUUAAGGUCAAUUUGAUUCUAUCAUUGUGACUUAUCACAUGCCUGAGGCAUGCAUUAAAGACUUCAAAUCACACGUGCUUAGACUUGUUUUAUUGUCUAAUUAUUCAUAGCUAUUAUUGUGUGUUGUAACAAAGCAAU
Molecule: long non-coding RNA, 1471 nt
Filed under: Equus caballus (horse)
Lineage: Eukaryota; Metazoa; Chordata; Mammalia; Perissodactyla; Equidae
Description: lncRNA (ENSECAG00000057159.1)
Source: RNAcentral